AAAAUAUAUUGUAUAUGAAAUAUCCAAAGUUUUGCCAAAAUAGCGAUUACUUGCCAAAACGAGAACUUCUAAUGUUUGUUUGCAGAGAGCCAAAUUCUUCUCUUCACAUUUAAACGAAAACUUGAACUGAAAGCUAUGAUGGAAUGCGAAUAUUUUUAGGGAUUUAAAUAGAGUGAACGUGGAUGAUAGUUACGUUAAUGCUUGAAGCAUGAGAUUCUCAACUUCUGGAGCCACGAUCAAGUUAUGAUUUAGAAAUCUGUUAUCUUGAAUUAAUCAUCUUACUUAUUUUGAUUCAAACUAUUGAUGGAGUGUGACAAGAAGCUAGCUAACAUAAGUUCAAGAAUGUGAGAAAAAAGAAAAAAAAAAAACCUAUGAAAUAAAGAUUUGGAACAUCAUGAAGUUCUACCAUGCAGUGGUGCCAGCUGUUUCCAAGUGGGGGACCAGUCCCCCAAGGUUGAAGAAGGUGAUACAUUUAGGGAGUUUUUCCCUCGCUCUCUUCAACAUGGGAGAUGGUUCACGCACUAUGCUGACCAGAUGACUUUGUGCCCUCUAGUACUCAUAGUGGGAACCAUCCUAGUUUUUGGUGUGUUAGUCGUAGAAUCAGUAGUUUGGUCCAAACACUGACAGUCUUAACGACCUGAGACUGUGAGGUUUGGACCAAACACUGACAGUCUUAACGACCUGGGGCCUAAGUGUUUGGUCCAAACACUGACAGUCUUAACGGCUAGAGACUGUGAGGUUUGGACCAAACACUGACAGUCUUAACGGCCUGGGAUCGAAGUGUUUGGUCCAAACACUGACAGUCUUAACGACAAGAGACUGUGAGGUUUGGACCAAACACUGACAGUCUUAACGGCCGGUGAUCGAAGUGUUUGGUCCAAACACUGACAGUCUUAACGACUAAAGACUGUCAGGUUUGGACCAAACACUGACAGUCUUAACGCCUGAAAACUAGGUGGAGUCCUAGUACUGAGUAGUAGUAGGGAACCUUUCUAUAUCUAUUUCACUGACAGUCUUAACAAGUUCCAUGUCAAUUAUACCAAACAAGGUCAUCUGGGAAGCUUCUAAUAAAUUUAGACAUAAAUAUGUGUCACAAAGAAAUGCUGGUGCUUUUCUGAAACUGUGAUACAUGCAUCUAAGAACAAAUCCAUAUGUAGCAUCUCAUUCUAUCUUGCAUAUGAUUGAAUGCAGCAUGAAUUACAUUAGUUAGUAUUUGAAUAUGUUACAAGUGUCCAUGUUCUUCUAAAUAAAAUGAUGUUUAGCUUUAUCUUUUAAAAAGAAAAUGCUGUGUAUGUGUAAAUAAAACUUUGAGUGUGGUUUUACAUUUUGUUCCUUUUUCCUUGAAAAAAUGUUAUGGACAACUAAGAGAAAUUUCAGGAUCAGAGGCAAUCUAAUUUUUGUACAAUUCUCAAGUUAAGAAAAAAAAAAACACUAAUCAAUUUUUCUGUGACAAAUGCUGCAUCA
Long non-coding RNA from Uloborus diversus, 1464 nucleotides. RefSeq lists it as uncharacterized. The record is from RefSeq and is a predicted model, not a curated record. NCBI's taxonomy places the organism in Eukaryota, Metazoa, Arthropoda, Arachnida, Araneae, Uloboridae. The transcript has 4 exons.